Molecule: long non-coding RNA, 374 nt
Organism: Schistocerca americana (American grasshopper)
Lineage: Eukaryota; Metazoa; Arthropoda; Insecta; Orthoptera; Acrididae
Exons: 3
Source: RefSeq, a predicted model, not a curated record
CGCGGACGGACCAGCGGCAAACGGCAGCUCGUCUCUCGUUUUAUUGUCUCCGUCGCGUACUAGUAAUAACUCAUCCGAGGCGACUGCCACUGCCCGGUGUAGGCUUUCACGCUCUGAAGUGUCAGUGACGUUUGCGUCAAAAAAAUACCGCAUUUUCUGUCAACUGCCGCGGGCCGAAAUUUCGUGUCUCUUGCGUGACAUUACCGCUCAGAGAGGAUAAUUUGCAGCUGAUUAAGGUUCUUGCUGCUGUGAAGGUGCUCCACUUGCGGAAGACUACUUUUGAAGGAUCAACGUUAUACAGUAUUUUUCGGAGACAGCAGCGCCACCAAGGCUGAACACGCGUCCUCCGGGCUGCCUGCAGCGCUGUGUGCCAG